Molecule: transfer RNA, 67 nt
Filed under: Stolotermes ruficeps
Lineage: Eukaryota; Metazoa; Arthropoda; Insecta; Blattodea; Termopsidae
Description: tRNA-Trp
Source: RNAcentral
AAGGCUUUAAGUUAAAGUUAAACUAAUAUCCUUCAAAGCUAUAAAUAAAGAGGUUCUUUAAGCCUUA